RNAcentral lists this long non-coding RNA (207 nucleotides) under Vitis vinifera (wine grape). Its description in RNAcentral is "long non-coding RNA (VVIN_LNC007912)". The record is from RNAcentral. Lineage: Eukaryota; Viridiplantae; Streptophyta; Magnoliopsida; Vitales; Vitaceae.
UGCGAUUGGACGGGGUUGUUCUCUUAAGGAUAACCACGUCUUCCCCGGAGUUAGGGAUGCCCAUCACUUUGUUGACAUGUUCUUCAUUGACAGUGAUAGCAUUGCCGGUUUCCAUAUUAAGUCUAUGGUAGGUAAAGUCAUAUUGAGAUAUGAGCCACCCGCAUAGCUCAUAUCUUAGUUCGCGGCAAGCAAAAGUCAGUAGGCCCC